RNAcentral lists this transfer RNA (76 nucleotides) under Evansella vedderi. RNAcentral describes it as "tRNA-Val". It matches the Rfam family "tRNA". Rfam says of the family: Transfer RNA (tRNA) molecules are approximately 80 nucleotides in length. The record is from RNAcentral. Lineage: Bacteria; Bacillati; Bacillota; Bacilli; Caryophanales; Bacillaceae.
GAUCCAUUAGCUCAGCUGGGAGAGCGCUACCUUGACAGGGUAGAGGUCACUGGUUCGAACCCAGUAUGGGUCACCA